CCUACGGGUGGCAGCAGUGGGGAAUAUUGCACAAUGGGGGAAACCCUGGUGCAGCGACGCCGCGUGAGUGAAGAAGGAAUUCGUUAUGUAAAGCUCUAUCAGCAGGGAAGAAAAUGACGGUACAUGAGUAAGAAGCCCCGGCGAACUCCGGGCCAGCAGCCGCGGUAAUACGUAGGGGGCAAGCGUUAUCCGGAUUUACUGGGUGUAAAGGGGGCGUAGACGGCAGUGCAAGUCUGGAGUGAAAGGCGAGGGCGCAACCCCCGGACUGCUCUGGAAACUGUACGGCUGGAGUGCAGGAGAGGUCAGUGGAAUUCCUAGUGGAGCGGUGAAAUGCGUAGAUAUUAGGAGGAACACCAGUGGCGAAGGCGGCUUACUGGACUGUAACUGACGUUGAGGCUCGAAAGCGUGGGGAGCAAACAGGAUUAGAUACCCGUGUAGUC
This 440-nucleotide ribosomal RNA is filed under the name uncultured bacterium. Its description in RNAcentral is "partial 16S ribosomal RNA". It matches the Rfam family "Bacterial small subunit ribosomal RNA", at positions 338 to 795 of the family's 1533-position model. The record is from RNAcentral.